RNAcentral lists this ribosomal RNA (782 nucleotides) under uncultured Neocallimastigales. RNAcentral's name for it is "partial large subunit ribosomal RNA". It matches the Rfam family "Eukaryotic large subunit ribosomal RNA", at positions 23 to 633 of the family's 3401-position model. The record is from RNAcentral. Lineage: Eukaryota; Fungi; Neocallimastigomycota; Neocallimastigomycetes; Neocallimastigales.
AGAGAGAGACAUGCGCGCAUAUCAAUAAGCGGAGGAAAAGAAACUAACUAGGAUUCCCUCAGUAACGGCGAGUGAAGCGGGAAGAGCUCAAAUUUGAAAUCUUCAAGGGUUCUACCUUUACGAAUUGUAGUUUAAAGAAGUGUUUUCUGUUGGAGUUUCGGUAAAAGUUCUUUGGAAAUAGGACAUCAUAGAGGGUGAGAAUCCCGUAUUUGACCAUUAUUUCCAGCUUUGUGAUACACUUUCAAAGAGUCGGAUUGUUUGGGAAUGCAGUCCAAAAUGGGUGGUAAAUUUCAUCUAAAGCUAAAUAUUGGCAAGAGACCGAUAGCGAACAAGUACCGUGAGGGAAAGAUGAAAAGAACUUUGAGAAGAGAGUUAAACAGUACGUGAAAUUGUCAAAAGGGAAGCGUUUGACACCAGUGUUGUUUUCUCGAAAAUCAAUUAAAAAUGGCUGGAUUUUGUGUUGUAUUGACUUUAUCAGCUUUCUGCACUUUUUUCAUGUCUUUUUUAAUGCACUUUUCGUUUAACAAGUCAACAUCAAUUUCUUUUGUUGUAAAAGAGUCAUUGGAAGGUGGCUUUCACUUUCGGUAGAAAGUGUUUAUAGCCUUUGACUCCUGCAAUCGGAGAGACUGAGGUCUGCAGCGUAGAUCCUUCGGGAUUAGAUUACAUUUGUGCUAAGUUAUAGCCUUUUCAUAGACAACAUUGUUGACUAUGAUCAAUCAUGUAGCUUACUCGCUUAUGUCUAUUUUACCUACGCUUAGGAUGUUGACAGCAGUAUAGACUGU